Small nucleolar RNA from Frankliniella occidentalis (western flower thrips), 85 nucleotides. RefSeq annotates it as small nucleolar RNA snR60/Z15/Z230/Z193/J17. Lineage: Eukaryota; Metazoa; Arthropoda; Insecta; Thysanoptera; Thripidae. The record is from RefSeq and is a predicted model, not a curated record. The transcript has a single exon.
AUGUGCAAUAUGAUGAUUUCAUAGUUCAACUGACAUCUGUGAUGUCUUACUAUUUAUGUCUUUCGCUCCUAUCUGAUAUGCAUAG